Molecule: long non-coding RNA, 239 nt
Filed under: Mytilus galloprovincialis (Mediterranean mussel)
Lineage: Eukaryota; Metazoa; Mollusca; Bivalvia; Mytilida; Mytilidae
Source: RNAcentral
CUUAUGUUUCCCUUACUAUUUUUGCGCAGUAAACCUCAGCAGCACCUGUAUAUACACGGAAAACAGAUACCCAACUUGAUACUGUGUUCCAGAAAUGGAGAGGAAGUUUCCAACUGGAAAAUCAAAAUUCAUAAAUCGAAAAAAAAAAAACAAAAUACAUAACAAAAACGUAAAAAGACGAAAUCAUAAGCAACAGUCUUCAAAGACCCUUCAAAAUACUAUAUAGAAAACAGAAGCCC